CACUUACAGAUGGACCCGCGGCGCAUUAGCUAGUUGGUGAGGUAACGGCUCACCAAGGCAACGAUGCGUAGCCGACCUGAGAGGGUGAUCGGCCACACUGGGACUGAGACACGGCCCAGACUCCUACGGGAGGCAGCAGUAGGGAAUCUUCCGCAAUGGACGAAAGUCUGACGGAGCAACGCCGCGUGAGUGAUGAAGGUUUUCGGAUCGUAAAGCUCUGUUGUUAGGGAAGAACAAGUACCGUUCAAAUAGGGCGGUACCUUGACGGUACCUAACCAGAAAGCCACGGCUAACUACGUGCCAGCAGCCGCGGUAAUACGUAGGUGGCAAGCGUUGUCCGGAAUUAUUGGGCGUAAAGGGCUCGCAGGCGGUUUCUUAAGUCUGAUGUGAAAGCCCCCGGCUCAACCGGGGAGGGUCAUUGGAAACUGGGGAACUUGAGUGCAGAAGAGGAGAGUGGAAUUCCACGUGUAGCGGUGAAAUGCGUAGAGAUGUGGAGGAACACCAGUGGCGAAGGCGACUCUCUGGUCUGUAACUGACGCUGAGGAGCGAAAGCGUGGGGAGCGAACAGGAUUAGAUACCCUGGUAGUCCACGCCGUAAACGAUGAGUGCUAAGUGUUAGGGGGUUUCCGCCCCUUAGUGCUGCAGCUAACGCAUUAAGCACUCCGCCUGGGGAGUACGGUCGCAAGACUGAAACUCAAAGGAAUUGACGGGGGCCCGCACAAGCGGUGGAGCAUGUGGUUUAAUUCGAAGCAACGCGAAGAACCUUACCAGGUCUUGACAUCCUCUGACAAUCCUAGAGAUAGGACGUCCCCUUCGGGGGCAGAGUGACAGGUGGUGCAUGGUUGUCGUCAGCUCGUGUCGUGAGAUGUUGGGUUAAGUCCCGCAACGAGCGCAACCCUUGAUCUUAGUUGCCAGCAUUCAGUUGGGCACUCUAAGGUGACUGCCGGUGACAAACCGGAGGAAGGUGGGGAUGACGUCAAAUCAUCAUGCCCCUUAUGACCUGGGCUACACACGUGCUACAAUGGACAGAACAAAGGGCAGCGAAACCGCGAGGUUAAGCCAAUCCCACAAAUCUGUUCUCAGUUCGGA
This 1089-nucleotide ribosomal RNA is filed under the name Bacillus sp. SBI-11. RNAcentral describes it as "bacterial SSU rRNA". It matches the Rfam family "Bacterial small subunit ribosomal RNA", at positions 216 to 1297 of the family's 1533-position model. Lineage: Bacteria; Bacillati; Bacillota; Bacilli; Caryophanales; Bacillaceae. The record is from RNAcentral.